RNAcentral lists this long non-coding RNA (315 nucleotides) under Elaeis guineensis (African oil palm). Its description in RNAcentral is "long non-coding RNA (EGUI_LNC027716)". The record is from RNAcentral. Lineage: Eukaryota; Viridiplantae; Streptophyta; Magnoliopsida; Arecales; Arecaceae.
CAGCCAAGAUUUUAACAGAGUAUUCUUGGGCCACAUUCCCCAUCCGGUGCACUUCCAAAUGACCCAAGAUCGCUAAUUUUCGAUAAGUUUUCCCACGGACUCCAUGCCUCCCUCCUAAUUAGAAUUUAUUACUCCCCUCGUGUCCAUAAGGAUAGGAAAAAAAACAUAGUAGGAUCGAAAGGGAGAAAAGGAGAGAUAGAGAGAGAUCGACGUCGCUCAUCCCCUAGUUCCCCGAUCACAUAAAACCCUAAUCCUCUCCGAUCGAUCCCCCUAGUAUUCCCUGCAUCAGUCCGGAUUUCGAUCGAUUCCUUUCUC